RNAcentral lists this ribosomal RNA (467 nucleotides) under uncultured bacterium. RNAcentral describes it as "bacterial SSU rRNA". It matches the Rfam family "Bacterial small subunit ribosomal RNA", at positions 29 to 506 of the family's 1533-position model. The record is from RNAcentral.
AUGAAUGCUGGCGGCGUGUCUAAGGCAUGCAAGUCGAACGGGUACGGGGAGUAAUCUCCGUGCUAGUGGCAAACGGGUGCGUAACACAUUGGUAACCUGCCUCGAAGACGCGGAUAACUCGCCGAAAGGCGUGCUAAUACGCGAUACGGAUGCGAGGGCGCGAGCCAUUCGCAUUGAAACGCCCAAAAGGCGCUUCGAGAGGGGCCUAUGGUCUAUCAGCUAGUUGGUGGGGUAACGGCUCACCAAGGCUCUGACGGAUAGCAGGCGUGAGAGCGCGACCUGCCUCAGUGGAACUGAGACACUGUCCACACUCCUACGGGAGGCUGCAGUCAAGAAUAUUCCUCAAUGGACGAAAGUCUGAAGGAGCGACGCCGCGUGCAGGAUGAAGCCCCUUGGGGUGUAAACUGCUUUUCCCAGGGACGAAUCUCGAUGACGGUACCUGGGGAAUAAGAGGUUGCUAACUCUGU